RNAcentral lists this ribosomal RNA (478 nucleotides) under uncultured bacterium. Its description in RNAcentral is "bacterial SSU rRNA". It matches the Rfam family "Bacterial small subunit ribosomal RNA", at positions 501 to 982 of the family's 1533-position model. The record is from RNAcentral.
CUACGUGCCAGCAGCCGCGGUAAUACGGAAGGUCCAGGCGUUAUCCGGAUUUAUUGGGUUUAAAGGGAGCGUAGGCUGGAGAUUAAGUGUGUUGUGAAAUGUAGACGCUCAACGUCUGAAUUGCAGCGCAUACUGGUUUCCUUGAGUACGCACAACGUUGGCGGAAUUCGUCGUGUAGCGGUGAAAUGCUUAGAUAUGACGAAGAACUCCGAUUGCGAAGGCAGCUGACGGGAGCGCAACUGACGCUUAAGCUCGAAGGUGCGGGUAUCAAACAGGAUUAGAUACCCUGGUAGUCCGCACAGUAAACGAUGGAUGCCCGCUGUUGGUACCUGGUAUCAGCGGCUAAGCGAAAGCAUUAAGCAUCCCACCUGGGGAGUACGCCGGCAACGGUGAAACUCAAAGGAAUUGACGGGGGCCCGCACAAGCGGUGGAGCAUGUGGUUUAAUUCGAAGCAACGCGAAGAACCUUACCAAAUCUU